AACCCGCUUACAACUUGAGUUGUACUGUGUAAAUCAAGCACACGACUCGCUCACGUUGUCGUAGGUGAGUUGUGUGCUUGAUUACACAGUACAACUCGAGUUGCAAGCAGGUU
Non-coding RNA from Paramuricea clavata, 113 nucleotides. NCBI's taxonomy places the organism in Eukaryota, Metazoa, Cnidaria, Anthozoa, Malacalcyonacea, Plexauridae. The record is from the annotation of a GenBank genome assembly.